RNAcentral lists this ribosomal RNA (403 nucleotides) under Verrucomicrobiota bacterium. RNAcentral describes it as "Verrucomicrobia bacterium partial 16S ribosomal RNA". It matches the Rfam family "Bacterial small subunit ribosomal RNA", at positions 355 to 776 of the family's 1533-position model. The record is from RNAcentral. Lineage: Bacteria; Pseudomonadati; Verrucomicrobiota.
UGGGGAAUAUUGCACAAUGGGCGCAAGCCUGAUGCAGCAACGCCGCGUGAACGAUGAAGGUCUUCGGAUCGUAAAGUUCUUUUGCAGGGGAAGAUAAUGACGGUACCCUGUGAGGAAGCCCCGGCUAACUACGUGCCAGCAGCCGCGGUAAUACGUAGGGGGCUAGCGUUAUCCGGAUUUACUGGGCGUAAAGGGUGCGUAGGUGGUCUUUCAAGUCGGUGGUUAAAGGCUACGGCUCAACCGUAGUUAGCCUCCGAAACUGGAAGACUUGAGUGCAGGAGAGGAAAGUGGAAUUCCCAGUGUAGCGGUGAAAUGCGUAGAUAUUGGGAGGAACACCAGUAGCGAAGGCGGCUUUCUGGACUGCAACUGACACUGAGGCACGAAAGCGUGGGUAGCAAACAGG